Molecule: ribosomal RNA, 496 nt
Filed under: uncultured bacterium
Lineage: Bacteria
Description: partial 16S ribosomal RNA
Rfam family: Bacterial small subunit ribosomal RNA
Source: RNAcentral
AUGAACGCUGGCGGCGUGCCUAAUCCAUGCCAGUCGAGCGAACGGACGAGAAGCUUGCUUCUCUGAUGUUAGCGGCGGACGGGUGAGUAACACGUGGAUAACCUACCUAUAAGACUGGGAUAACUUCGGGAAACCGGAGCUAAUACCGGAUAAUAUUUUGAACCGCAUGGUUCAAAAAUGAAAGACGGUCUUGCUGUCACUUAUAGAUGGAUCCGAGCUGCAUUAGCUAGUUGGUAAGGUAACGGCUUACCAAGGCAACGAUGCAUAGCCGACCUGAGAGGGUGAUCGGCCACACUGGAACUGAGACACGGUCCAGACUCCUACGGGAGGCAGCAGUAGGGAAUCUUCCGCAAUGGGCGAAAGCCUGACGGAGCAACGCCGCGUGAGUGAUAAAGGUCUUCGGAUCGUAAAACUCUGUUAUUAGGGAAGAACAUAUGUGUAAGUAACUGUGCACAUCUUGACGGUACCUAAUCAGAAAGCCACGGCUAACUACGUG